This 484-nucleotide ribosomal RNA is filed under the name uncultured bacterium. RNAcentral's name for it is "partial 16S ribosomal RNA". It matches the Rfam family "Bacterial small subunit ribosomal RNA", at positions 30 to 507 of the family's 1533-position model. The record is from RNAcentral.
AUUGAACGCUGGCGGCAGGCCUAACACAUGCAAGUCGAGCGGAUGAAGGGAGCUUGCUCCUGGAUUCAGCGGCGGACGGGUGAGUAAUGCCUAGGAAUCUGCCUGGUAGUGGGGGAUAACGUCCGGGAACGGGCGCUAAUACCGCAUACGUCCUGAGGGAGAAAGUGGGGGAUCUUCGGACCUCACGCUAUCAGAUGAGCCUAGGUCGGAUUAGCUAGUUGGUGGGGUAAAGGCCUACCAAGGCGACGAUCCGUAACUGGUCUGAGAGGAUGAUCAGUCACACUGGAACUGAGACACGGUCCAGACUCCUACGGGAGGCAGCAGUGGGGAAUAUUGGACAAUGGGCGAAAGCCUGAUCCAGCCACGCCGCGUGUGUGAAGAAGGUCUUCGGAUUGUAAAGCACUUUAAGUUGGGAGGAAGGGCAGUAAGUUAAUACCUUGCUGUUUUGACGUUACCAACAGAAUAAGCACCGGCUAACUUCGUG